UACGUAGGGUGCGAGCGUUGUCCGGAAUUAUUGGGCGUAAAGGGCUCGUAGGCGGUUUGUCGCGUCGGGAGUGAAAACUCAGGGCUUAACCCUGAGCCUGCUUCCGAUACGGGCAGACUAGAGGUAUGCAGGGGAGAACGGAAUUCCUGGUGUAGCGGUGAAAUGCGCAGAUAUCAGGAGGAACACCGGUGGCGAAGGCGGUUCUCUGGGCAUUACCUGACGCUGAGGAGCGAAAGCAUGGGGAGCAAACAGG
Molecule: ribosomal RNA, 253 nt
Filed under: uncultured bacterium
Lineage: Bacteria
Description: partial 16S ribosomal RNA
Rfam family: Bacterial small subunit ribosomal RNA
Source: RNAcentral